This 200-nucleotide ribosomal RNA is filed under the name uncultured bacterium. RNAcentral's name for it is "partial 16S ribosomal RNA". It matches the Rfam family "Bacterial small subunit ribosomal RNA", at positions 28 to 227 of the family's 1533-position model. The record is from RNAcentral.
GAUGAACGCUGGCGGCGUGCUUAACACAUGCAAGUCGAACGGUGAAGCUCAGCUUGCUGGGUGGAUCAGUGGCGAACGGGUGAGUAACACGUGAGCAACCUGCCCCGGACUCUGGGAUAAGCGCUGGAAACGGCGUCUAAUACUGGAUAUGAGCUGCGAAGGCAUCUUCAGCAGCUGGAAAGAUUUUUUGGUCUGGGAUG